This 469-nucleotide ribosomal RNA is filed under the name uncultured bacterium. RNAcentral describes it as "bacterial SSU rRNA". It matches the Rfam family "Bacterial small subunit ribosomal RNA", at positions 50 to 507 of the family's 1533-position model. The record is from RNAcentral.
AACACAUGCAAGUCGGACGGCAGCGUGUUCUAUCUUCGGAUAGAAUGACGGCGAGUGGCGGACGGGUGAGUAACACGUAGGAAUCUGCCUUAAAGUGGGGAAUAGCUUGGGGAAACUCAAGGUAAUACCGCAUAAUAUCUAAGGAGAAAGCUGGGGACCUUCGGGCCUGGCGCUUUAAGAUGAGCCUGCGUCAGAUUAGCUUGUUGGUGGGGUAAAGGCCUACCAAGGCGACGAUCUGUAGCUGAUUUGAGAGAAUGAUCAGCCACACUGGGACUGAGACACGGCCCAGACUCCUACGGGAGGCAGCAGUGGGGAAUUUUGGACAAUGGGCGAAAGCCUGAUCCAGCAAUACCGCGUGUGUGAUGAAGGCCUUCGGGUUGUAAAGCACUUUCAGUUGUGAAGAAAUAGGUUUGGUUAAUAGCCAAGCUGAAUGACGUUAGCAACAGAGGAAGCACCGGCUAACUCUGUG